AUUGAACGCUGGCGGCAGGCCUAACACAUGCAAGUCGAGCGGAUGAAGGGAGCUUGCUCCUGGAUUCAGCGGCGGACGGGUGAGUAAUGCCUAGGAUUCUGCCUGGUAGUGGGGGAUAACGUCCGGAAACGGGCGCUAAUACCGCAUACGUCCUGAGGGAGAAAGUGGGGGAUCUUCGGACCUCACGCUAUCAGAUGAGCCCAGGUCGGAUUAGCUAGUUGGUGGGGUAAAGGCCUACCAAGGCGACGAUCCGUAACUGGUCUGAGAGGAUGAUCAGUCACACUGGAACUGAGACACGGUCCAGACUCCUACGGGAGGCAGCAGUGGGGAAUAUUGGACAAUGGGCGAAAGCCUGAUCCAGCCAUGCCGCGUGUGUGAAGAAGGUCUUCGGAUUGUAAAGCACUUUAAGUUGGGAGGAAGGGCAGUAAGUUAAUACCUUGCUGUUUUGACGUUACCAACAGAAUAAGCACCGGCUAACUUCGUG
This 484-nucleotide ribosomal RNA is filed under the name uncultured bacterium. RNAcentral's name for it is "partial 16S ribosomal RNA". It matches the Rfam family "Bacterial small subunit ribosomal RNA", at positions 30 to 507 of the family's 1533-position model. The record is from RNAcentral.